CAAUGGGCCAAUGGGAACCAAUACCAAUACUGAGUGAAUACUAAUGCACCGACUACUGCGAGCAUAUUUGUGUGGCCUGUCCUCGAUUGCAGUGACACUGUCACGUUACGACCACCUGGAAUAAUCAUUUAAAACACUAUUACAAAUAAAACAAAUCCGCAAUCCGUUUACCAUCGGAACACGUCGAAUCCAUCGAUCGUAACGAAAGGAGCUCGUCAACUUCCUCGUCAAUUCUUUGAACAAUACUCCAAUAACACCAUCACGACCAACAUUCAACGGAGGAUUCUUCGAUUUCGCUAUUUUCUGUCGACAACUGCCUCGAAAUAAGAAAUUCUUUGAUCGACGAUCUGUAUCAUAUUCCAGCCAAGAGGCUUAUCGAGCAUCGAAAACAACCGUUUAACGUCCUAAAAAUCGUCGAGUACUCACCGGCAUCGAUGAUCCCUUGCGCCAAAAUGGCGCCAAAUUUCGCCAUUACAUCCUCGUGCUUGUCCACCACGACCUUCGCGUAUAAUGCCCU
Apis dorsata (giant honeybee) is the source of this 517-nucleotide long non-coding RNA. RefSeq lists it as uncharacterized. Lineage: Eukaryota; Metazoa; Arthropoda; Insecta; Hymenoptera; Apidae. The transcript is spliced from 2 exons. The record is from RefSeq and is a predicted model, not a curated record.